This 402-nucleotide ribosomal RNA is filed under the name Verrucomicrobiota bacterium. RNAcentral's name for it is "Verrucomicrobia bacterium partial 16S ribosomal RNA". It matches the Rfam family "Bacterial small subunit ribosomal RNA", at positions 355 to 776 of the family's 1533-position model. The record is from RNAcentral. Lineage: Bacteria; Pseudomonadati; Verrucomicrobiota.
UGGGGAAUUUUGCACAAUGGGGGAAACCCUGAUGCAGCGACGCCGCGUGAUUUAGAAGGCCUUCGGGUUGUAAAAAUCUUUUGUAUGGGAAGAAAAUGACAGUACCAUACGAAUAAGGACCGGCUAAUUACGUGCCAGCAGCCGCGGUAAUACGUAAGGUCCGAGCGUUGUCCGGAAUCAUUGGGCGUAAAGGGUACGUAGGCGGAUAAGCAAGUUAGAAGUGAAAUCCUAUAGCUCAACUAUAGUAAGCUUUUAAAACUGCUCAUCUUGAGGUAUGGAAAGGAAAGUGGAAUUCCUAGUGUAGCGGUGAAAUGCGCAGAUAUUAGGAGGAAUACCGGUGGCGAAGGCGACUUUCUGGCCAUAUACUGACGCUGAGGUACGAAAGCGUGGGUAGCAAACAGG